GGUCCCAUCGUCUAGUGGCCUAGGACGCCGGCCUCUCACGCCGGAAACACGGGUUCGAGUCCCGUUGGGACCACCA
This 76-nucleotide transfer RNA is filed under the name Deltaproteobacteria bacterium. RNAcentral describes it as "tRNA-Glu". It matches the Rfam family "tRNA". Rfam says of the family: Transfer RNA (tRNA) molecules are approximately 80 nucleotides in length. Their secondary structure includes four short double-helical elements and three loops (D, anti-codon, and T loops). RNAcentral also lists the same sequence under 4 other names. The record is from RNAcentral. Lineage: Bacteria; Pseudomonadati; Myxococcota; Myxococcia.